CGAGGCUGAGCUCCUGUUGGGCCCUUCGAUCUCGAGAAUCGUCACCUGAGGUGCGCUCCUUUACGGGCCCUCGCUCUUGGUGUACACAGAGGUGCGCUCCUUCACGGGCCCUCUCCCUUGGUAUCACCCGAGGUGCGCUCCUGCACGGGCCCUCGCUCUUGGUGUAACACGAGGUGCGCUCCCUCCAGGGCCCUCAAUCUUUUGGUCGAAGAGCUUCGUGGCACGUCAAACUGCCUCGUCGACGUCUCCGACGGGACCGUCCCGGUCCUUACCCGCACCCGGACUGUCCGGGGUGCGUCUGUCCAGACGAGUGCCAGGGAGUUCCCAUACUCGACUCUGGCAUAGCGUUCCUUCCUUGGGAGCUGAGGCAGAUAGAGGUACCACGACACUACGACCCUCGCCGCCGGUGUACCGUAACAAGGAGUCAGGGGACCCAAACGUCGCCAACCGCUUCGGCCACGUCCAGCGGUACCCAGACGUCCCCUGAGCCUGCAACGAGCACUCCGCAGAAGCUCCGAAGCGUCGUCGUCGUCCCAGUCGCUCCUUCGCCGCGUUCUCCGCGUCCUCGCACGCCAGGGCGA
Molecule: long non-coding RNA, 581 nt
Organism: Solenopsis invicta (red fire ant)
Lineage: Eukaryota; Metazoa; Arthropoda; Insecta; Hymenoptera; Formicidae
Exons: 2
Source: RefSeq, a predicted model, not a curated record